This 2903-nucleotide ribosomal RNA is filed under the name Klebsiella pneumoniae. RNAcentral's name for it is "23S ribosomal RNA". It matches the Rfam family "Bacterial large subunit ribosomal RNA". Lineage: Bacteria; Pseudomonadati; Pseudomonadota; Gammaproteobacteria; Enterobacterales; Enterobacteriaceae. The record is from RNAcentral.
GGUUAAGCGACUAAGCGUACACGGUGGAUGCCCUGGCAGUCAGAGGCGAUGAAGGACGUGCUAAUCUGCGAAAAGCGUCGGUAAGGUGAUAUGAACCGUUAUAGCCGGCGAUGUCCGAAUGGGGAAACCCAGUGCAAUUCGUUGCACUAUCGUUAACUGAAUACAUAGGUUAACGAGGCGAACCGGGGGAACUGAAACAUCUAAGUACCCCGAGGAAAAGAAAUCAACCGAGAUUCCCCCAGUAGCGGCGAGCGAACGGGGAGCAGCCCAGAGUCUGAAUCAGCUUGUGUGUUAGUGGAACGGUCUGGAAAGUCCGACGGUACAGGGUGAUAGUCCCGUACACCAAAAUGCACAGGUUGUGAACUCGAAGAGUAGGGCGGGACACGUGGUAUCCUGUCUGAAUAUGGGGGGACCAUCCUCCAAGGCUAAAUACUCCUGACUGACCGAAGAUAGUGAACCAGUACCGUGAGGGAAAGGCGAAAAGAACCCCGGCGAGGGGAGUGAAAAAGAACCUGAAACCGUGUACGUACAAGCAGUGGGAGCACCUUCGGGUGUGACUGCGUACCUUUUGUAUAAUGGGUCAGCGACUUAUAUUCUGUAGCAAGGUUAACCGUAUAGGGGAGCCGCAGGGAAACCGAGUCUUAACUGGGCGUUAAGUUGCAGGGUAUAGACCCGAAACCCGGUGAUCUAGCCAUGGGCAGGUUGAAGGUUGGGUAACACUAACUGGAGGACCGAACCGACUAAUGUUGAAAAAUUAGCGGAUGACUUGUGGCUGGGGUGAAAGGCCAAUCAAACCGGGAGAUAGCUGGUUCUCCCCGAAAGCUAUUUAGGUAGCGCCUCGUGAACUCAUCUUCGGGGUAGAGCACUGUUUCGGCUAGGGGGUCAUCCCGACUUACCAACCCGAUGCAAACUACGAAUACCGAAGAAUGUUAUCACGGGAGACACACGGCGGGUGCUAACGUCCGUCGUGAAGAGGGAAACAACCCAGACCGCCAGCUAAGGUCCCAAAGUCAUGGUUAAGUGGGAAACGAUGUGGGAAGGCACAGACAGCCAGGAUGUUGGCUUAGAAGCAGCCAUCAUUUAAAGAAAGCGUAAUAGCUCACUGGUCGAGUCGGCCUGCGCGGAAGAUGUAACGGGGCUAAACCAUGCACCGAAGCUGCGGCAGCGACACUAUGUGUUGUUGGGUAGGGGAGCGUUCUGUAAGCCUGCGAAGGUGUGCUGUGAGGCAUGCUGGAGGUAUCAGAAGUGCGAAUGCUGACAUAAGUAACGAUAAAGCGGGUGAAAAGCCCGCUCGCCGGAAGACCAAGGGUUCCUGUCCAACGUUAAUCGGGGCAGGGUGAGUCGACCCCUAAGGCGAGGCCGAAAGGCGUAGUCGAUGGGAAACAGGUUAAUAUUCCUGUACUUGGUGUUACUGCGAAGGGGGGACGGAGAAGGCUAUGUUAGCCGGGCGACGGUUGUCCCGGUUUAAGCAUGUAGGCUGAUUGUCCAGGCAAAUCCGGAUAAUCAAGGCUGAGGUGUGAUGACGAGGCACUACGGUGCUGAAGUAACAAAUGCCCUGCUUCCAGGAAAAGCCUCUAAGCAUCAGGUAACAUUAAAUCGUACCCCAAACCGACACAGGUGGUCAGGUAGAGAAUACCAAGGCGCUUGAGAGAACUCGGGUGAAGGAACUAGGCAAAAUGGUGCCGUAACUUCGGGAGAAGGCACGCUGGUGUGUAGGUGAAGUCCCUGCGGAUGGAGCUGAGACCAGUCGAAGAUACCAGCUGGCUGCAACUGUUUAUUAAAAACACAGCACUGUGCAAACACGAAAGUGGACGUAUACGGUGUGACGCCUGCCCGGUGCCGGAAGGUUAAUUGAUGGGGUUAUCCGUAAGGAGAAGCUCUUGAUCGAAGCCCCGGUAAACGGCGGCCGUAACUAUAACGGUCCUAAGGUAGCGAAAUUCCUUGUCGGGUAAGUUCCGACCUGCACGAAUGGCGUAAUGAUGGCCAGGCUGUCUCCACCCGAGACUCAGUGAAAUUGAACUCGCUGUGAAGAUGCAGUGUACCCGCGGCAAGACGGAAAGACCCCGUGAACCUUUACUAUAGCUUGACACUGAACAUUGAGCCUUGAUGUGUAGGAUAGGUGGGAGGCUUUGAAGCGUGGACGCCAGUCUGCGUGGAGCCAACCUUGAAAUACCACCCUUUAAUGUUUGAUGUUCUAACGUUGGCCCCUGACCGGGGUUGCGGACAGUGUCUGGUGGGUAGUUUGACUGGGGCGGUCUCCUCCCAAAGCGUAACGGAGGAGCACGAAGGUUAGCUAAUCCUGGUCGGACAUCAGGAGGUUAGUGCAAUGGCAUAAGCUAGCUUGACUGCGAGCGUGACGGCGCGAGCAGGUGCGAAAGCAGGUCAUAGUGAUCCGGUGGUUCUGAAUGGAAGGGCCAUCGCUCAACGGAUAAAAGGUACUCCGGGGAUAACAGGCUGAUACCGCCCAAGAGUUCAUAUCGACGGCGGUGUUUGGCACCUCGAUGUCGGCUCAUCACAUCCUGGGGCUGAAGUAGGUCCCAAGGGUAUGGCUGUUCGCCAUUUAAAGUGGUACGCGAGCUGGGUUUAGAACGUCGUGAGACAGUUCGGUCCCUAUCUGCCGUGGGCGCUGGAGAAUUGAGGGGGGCUGCUCCUAGUACGAGAGGACCGGAGUGGACGCAUCACUGGUGUUCGGGUUGUCAUGCCAAUGGCACUGCCCGGUAGCUAAAUGCGGAAGAGAUAAGUGCUGAAAGCAUCUAAGCACGAAACUUGCCCCGAGAUGAGUUCUCCCUGAGACUUUAAGUCUCCUGAAGGAACGUUAAAGACGAUGACGUUGAUAGGCCGGGUGUGUAAGCGCAGCGAUGCGUUGAGCUAACCGGUACUAAUGAACCGUGAGGCUUAACCUU